RNAcentral lists this long non-coding RNA (1968 nucleotides) under Solanum tuberosum (potato). RNAcentral describes it as "long non-coding RNA (STUB_LNC011663)". Lineage: Eukaryota; Viridiplantae; Streptophyta; Magnoliopsida; Solanales; Solanaceae. The record is from RNAcentral.
UGGGGUUUAUGGCUGUAAGUCGAAAGCAAUGUCGCUUAUGAGGUUCUGUCAUAUGCAUAUAUUAUCAGAUUUCAAGCCGAAGCUGUACAAGGCUUGCAGUUUUGCCAUCAAAAGGUAUUUUCUUUUCUUCACAUUUCAUACAUUUAUGUCUUAGUAUUUUGCACAGUUCUAAGCUUUAUGAGGAAAUAUAACUUUUCGUAAAUUUUUGUCUAAAAGAUGCGUCCUUUCUGAAUUGUUGCUGAAGCAGAAUGUAUAUGCCUGCGCCCAAUUUGCUUUAUUGUUUGGUAUACAACUGGUUAUUUUGCUAACGUAUAAAAAAAAGGUCUCAUCCUUUUUCCUCAAAAGGAACUUUGCCAAUUAACUUCAAGUUCUUGUUGUUCUUUUUUCAUUUUCCUAUUUUGUUAAGGUUCUUUAGUUUUUCUCGAGUCUUUUGUGAAGAUUUCCUGAUACAUUUUACCCUUGUGCAAAGAUUGCUCUUGCACCUAGCAAGAAGAACAUGUGUGUAUGUGUGAGAGUAUGGUUCUGGAAGGCUAUAAGCUAAAGUAAAAGCAGUAUAAGUGGUUGGAUUCACUUAUGUUCUGAUUGCCUUUACGAGUAAGAUUAGGUCGUAUGGUGGGUGUAUAUCAUUUUAAUGUUUUAUGAUCAUUGGACUUCACUUCCCAAGCAACUACGCUUUAUUUUGAAUUGUACCCUAUAAUUGUUAACUUUCUAACCUCAUGGUAUAGUGCCUGUGGGAUCUAGUUUUGAUUCCUACCGUUUAUCUUUUCUUGCUCUUCAGAAUUACGUAACUACCUUCUUGCUAUUCAUUUUUUUCCAGCCCAUUUACGCUUAAACAUUCCCCAAGAUAUUAACCAUCAACAUUUCCCACUAGGCUUCUCUGUAGGACUUCGUUUUGUGUGUUUGAGGUGUCAUUAAUGUAGAUAAUUUCGUUUGCCUUCAUUAAAGUAGUUGUUGUAGGACUUUUUUAUUGUAGCUAUUGUGCGAGGUGCAGUGGAGCAGAAGUAAAAGUGGCCAUCUGGGUUGCACGAUCCCAAAUCUAGCAAUAACUUCUCUACUGUCAAGUUAAAGAUGUCGUUUAAUGCAUGUGACGUAUAAGAAUUUAAAGGAUUUUACUGUUAUCCAGCUAAAUCAGAGGCCGAGUAUUCUGUUGUGGCUAGACGAGACAAAUGUUGUGGCUAGACAUAGGUGUAUUCUCGAGUGCUGAUAUAUUCAUAAAUCUACGGCUUAUUUUGGAGUGCUGAUACAACUAUAGUGCACAGUUUGAACCUCCUAUUCUUAUGUUAAUUGUUCUUUAUGCAUAUUGUAGGAAGACGAACGGAUAGGAACAAAUCGGCUUGCACUACUGAAGAAAAUAACAGACUUGCCAAGGGGAUAACUAUAAUAAUAGCCAAUGCAGGAGAUUCCCGAAUAGGGCAACCUUUCGAACUGCUGCUGAAUCCAUGGGCAGGCAAGAGACAACCUGGCGAAAGAGGAAUUUCUUAGAGGGGAUAACUAUAAUAAUAGCCAAUGCAGGGAGAGGAAUUUCUUAGCUCAUCAACCAAUUUUGCUGGAUCGGGUCUCCAAAUCUUUCAGAGGAGAAGUAGUGAACAGGUGCACUCAACUGAUGCCAUUGUUAUCUUCCUUUGUCUACAUUUCGACUGUCUUUAGUUCUCAUCCUUAAAACAUAAAAGGGUUUAUUUCUUUUUUGUGGAGCUUGUUAAUGAUCUUUGGUGAUAAGUUAAUUUCUUGAUGGUGGAGUUGUUAAUACUAUUUAGUGCUAAUGCAUUUUGUUUCAAUUUGGUAGUAAAUUAACAGAUAAGAUAGCUGCUACUUUCUCUAGGUCUCUUGGAGUUUCAACUGAUUUUACAACAUACCUGCUACAUGAAGAUUUAUAUUUUUUAUAUAUCGAUAUACAGAGGCUUCAAAUUAUGGGAACUAUAGUCCUUCUACCUCGUGCCUCACCUUGCAAAGAUCAUGCAUCUUUUCCUU